CCUACGGGCGGCAGCAGUGGGGGAUAUUGCACAAUGGGGGCAAGCCUGAUGCAGCGACGCCGCGUGAACGAAGAAGUAUUUCGGUUUGUAAAGCCCUAUCGACAGGGAAGAGCAGAUGACGGUACCUGACUAAUAAGCAACGGCUAACUACGUGCCAGCAGCCGCGGUAAUACGUAGGUGGCAAGCGUUGUCCGGAUUUACUGGGUGUAAAGGGCGCGCAGUCGGGCUGGCAAGUCAGAUGUGAAAUCCGGGGGCUCAACCGCCGAACUGCAUGUGAAACUGCCGGUCUUGAGUAUCGGAGAGGCAGGCGGAAUUCCUAGUGUAGCGGUGAAAUGCGUAGAUAUUAGGAGGAACACCAGUGGCGAAGGCGGCCUACUGGACGGUGACUGACGCUGAGGCGCGAAAGCGUGGGGAGCAAACAGGAUUAGAUACCCUAGUAGUC
This 442-nucleotide ribosomal RNA is filed under the name uncultured bacterium. Its description in RNAcentral is "partial 16S ribosomal RNA". It matches the Rfam family "Bacterial small subunit ribosomal RNA", at positions 338 to 795 of the family's 1533-position model. The record is from RNAcentral.